CCCUUAGAUGUCCGGGGCUGCACGCGCGCUACACUGAAGGAAUCAGCGUGCUAAAACCAUUGUCGAAAGGCAUUGGUAAACCCAUUAAAAUCCUACGUGAUUGGGAUCGGGAAUUGCAAUUAUUUCCCUUGAACGAGGAAUUCCCAGUAAGUGUGGGUCAUAAGCUCGCGUUGAUUACGUCCCUGCCCUUUGUACACACCGCCCGUCGCUGCCGGGGACUGAGCCGUUUCGAGAAAAGCGGGGACUGCUGCUGUCGGGGCUUUCGGGCCUUGGCUUCGGUGGAAACCGCUUUAAUCGCAGUGGCUUGAACCGGGCAAAAGUCGUAACA
RNAcentral lists this ribosomal RNA (328 nucleotides) under uncultured eukaryote. RNAcentral describes it as "partial 18S ribosomal RNA". It matches the Rfam family "Eukaryotic small subunit ribosomal RNA", at positions 1470 to 1796 of the family's 1831-position model. The record is from RNAcentral.